Molecule: ribosomal RNA, 253 nt
Filed under: uncultured bacterium
Lineage: Bacteria
Description: partial 16S ribosomal RNA
Rfam family: Bacterial small subunit ribosomal RNA
Source: RNAcentral
UACGUAGGGUGCAAGCGUUGUCCGGAAUUAUUGGGCGUAAAGGGCUCGUAGGCGGUCCAUCACGUCGGGAGUGAAAAGCUGGGGCUUAACCCCAGUCCUGCUUCCGAUACGGGUGGACUAGAGGUAGGCAGGGGAGGACGGAAUUCCUGGUGUAGCGGUGAAAUGCGCAGAUAUCAGGAGGAACACCGGUGGCGAAGGCGGUUCUCUGGGCCUUACCUGACGCUGAGGAGCGAAAGCGUGGGGAGCAAACAGG